Long non-coding RNA from Penaeus chinensis, 396 nucleotides. RefSeq lists it as uncharacterized. The record is from RefSeq and is a predicted model, not a curated record. NCBI's taxonomy places the organism in Eukaryota, Metazoa, Arthropoda, Malacostraca, Decapoda, Penaeidae. The transcript has 2 exons.
CGAACACGUCUAGAAACCAUGCACGUUUGUUUACAAACAAACGGGACUCCAGCGUGCUUGACCGGGCUAUACAAGAGGCGAGGUCGUUAAAGAAAGGCUAGGGGAUAUAUGAGUUUUCACAGGGGAAGAAAUUCUCUGUCAAGACAAUACGAGAGGAAAGAUAAGAUGAGAGAAGAAGAGAAACGGGAAAGAUACGUUUCUUUUAGAGCGAAAAUCGAAAACUUUCAACAUGACGAGACGUAAACAGACAGGUGAAGACGAGAGGAAACAGACAGCAUUAGAUCCUGCCUUGAUAGAUGAAGAUCUCCUUUCCAUAGUGAAAACUGCAAAAGCUUUACAUAACGAGGACUAUUUGUAUAAGCAUGACAUAUCCCCCGAAGAUCUACAAGGUCAAAG